GCCGGAAUGGUGGAAUGGCAGACACAGCGGACUUAAAAUCCGCAGCCGCAAGGCGUAGGGGUUCGACUCCCCUUUCCGGCACCA
This 84-nucleotide transfer RNA is filed under the name Lentisphaeraceae bacterium. RNAcentral describes it as "tRNA-Leu". It matches the Rfam family "tRNA". From Rfam's summary of the family: Transfer RNA (tRNA) molecules are approximately 80 nucleotides in length. Their secondary structure includes four short double-helical elements and three loops (D, anti-codon, and T loops). Lineage: Bacteria; Pseudomonadati; Lentisphaerota; Lentisphaeria; Lentisphaerales; Lentisphaeraceae. The record is from RNAcentral. RNAcentral also lists the same sequence under 2 other names.